UACGGGGGGAGCAAGCGUUGUUCGGAUUUACUGGGCGUAAAGGGCGCGUCGGCGGCCUCCGCAAGUCAGUUGUGAAAUCUCCGAGCUUAACUCGGAAAGGUCAACUGAUACUGCGGGGCUAGAGUGCGGAAGGGGCAACUGGAAUUCUUGGUGUAGCGGUGAAAUGCGUAGAUAUCAAGAGGAACACCUGCGGCGAAGGCGGGUUGCGGGGCCGACACUGACGCUGAGGCGCGAAAGCUAGGGGAGCGAACGGG
RNAcentral lists this ribosomal RNA (254 nucleotides) under uncultured bacterium. RNAcentral's name for it is "partial 16S ribosomal RNA". It matches the Rfam family "Bacterial small subunit ribosomal RNA", at positions 524 to 776 of the family's 1533-position model. The record is from RNAcentral.